UACGUAGGGUGCAAGCGUUGUCCGGAAUUAUUGGGCGUAAAGAGCUCGUAGGCGGUCUGUCACGUCGGCUGUGAAAACCCGAGGCUCAACCUCGGGCCUGCAGUCGAUACGGGCAGACUAGAGUUCGGUAGGGGAGACUGGAAUUCCUGGUGUAGCGGUGAAAUGCGCAGAUAUCAGGAGGAACACCGGUGGCGAAGGCGGGUCUCUGGGCCGUUACUGACGCUGAGGAGCGAAAGCAUGGGGAGCGAACAGG
Molecule: ribosomal RNA, 253 nt
Filed under: uncultured bacterium
Lineage: Bacteria
Description: partial 16S ribosomal RNA
Rfam family: Bacterial small subunit ribosomal RNA
Source: RNAcentral